GACGAACGCUGGCGGCGUGCUUAACACAUGCAAGUCGAACGGAAAGGCCCUGCUUUUGUGGGGUGCUCGAGUGGCGAACGGGUGAGUAACACGUGAGUAACCUGCCCUUGACUUUGGGAUAACUUCAGGAAACUGGGGCUAAUACCGGAUAGGAGCUCCUGCUGCAUGGUGGGGGUUGGAAAGUUUCGGCGGUUGGGGAUGGACUCGCGGCUUAUCCGCUUGUUGGUGGGGUAGUGGCUUACCAAGGCUUUGACGGGUAGCUGGCCUGAGAGGGUGACCGGCCACAUUGGGACUGAGAUACGGCCCAGACUCCUACGGGAGGCAGCAGUGGGGAAUAUUGCACAAUGGGCGGAAGCCUGAUGCAGCAACGCCGCGUGCGGGAUGACGGCCUUCGGGUUGUAAACCGCUUUCGCCUGUGACGAAGCGUGAGUGACGGUAAUGGGUAAAGAAGCACCGGCUAACUACGUG
Molecule: ribosomal RNA, 468 nt
Filed under: uncultured bacterium
Lineage: Bacteria
Description: partial 16S ribosomal RNA
Rfam family: Bacterial small subunit ribosomal RNA
Source: RNAcentral